This is a non-coding RNA of Pelobates cultripes (western spadefoot toad), 383 nucleotides long. The record is from the annotation of a GenBank genome assembly. Lineage: Eukaryota; Metazoa; Chordata; Amphibia; Anura; Pelobatidae.
UUUUUAUCUUUUUCUUGUUUGUUGUUUUUAAAUACAUAUGUGUAUUGCGCAAAUAAGCAUUUAGUUGCAAGGUGCCUGCAUAUUCUGUAGCAUGCAAAAACAGAUGUCCAAGGACACACACAGGUCUUUCCCCAAACGUUUUAGUGGAGCAAUGGCAAUUAUUUUUGCUCAUAUCCUGAGUCUUUCUUAAACUACUGGAUGUGAGCUGAAAUAUUGUAAUUGCUCCAAUAACAUCCUGCUUUUGGGAAAUGGCCUGUGUGUACCUGGACAUUUGUUUAUGUAUGUAGUCCGUGACGCACCCUCGGAUUCACUCCCUUACCUUUUUUUUUUUUUUUAUAAAUGUGUGCAGUCCCUCAUUUUGAAUAUGGCAUCUUCAGUAACAG